GGGUUAGGUUAGGGUUAGGGUUAGUUUAGGGUUAGGUUAGGGUUAGGGUUAGGUUAGGGUUAGGUUGGGGUUAGGUUAGGGUUAGGGUUAGGUUGGGUUAGGUUAGGUUAGGGUUAGGUUUGGGUUAGGGUUAGGUUUGGGUUAGGGUUAGGUUAGGGUUAGGUUGGGUUAGGGUUGGGUUAGGGUUAGGUUAGGGUUAGGUUGGGUUAGGUUAGGGUUAGGGUUAGGUUAGGGUUAGGUUAGGGUUAGGGUUAGUUUAGGGUUAGGUUAGGUUAGGGUUAGGUUUGGGUUAGGGUUAGGUUAGGUUUGGGUUAGGGUUAGGUUAGGGUUAGGUUAGGGUUAGGUUUGGGUUAGGUUAGGGUUAGGUUAGGGUUAGGUUAGGGUUAGGUUUGGGUUAGGGUUAGGUUAGGGUUAGGUUAGGUUUGGGUUUGGGUUAGGGUUAGGUUAGGUUAGGGUUAGGUUAGGGUUAGGUUAGGGUUAGGUUUGGGUUAGGGUUAGGUUAGGGUUAGGUUUGGGUUUGGGUUAGGUUAGGGUUAGGGUUAGGUUAGGGUUAGGUUAGGGUUAGGGUUAGGUUUGGGUUUGGGUUUGGGUUAGGGUUAGGUUAGGGUUAGGGUUAGGUUAGGGUUAGGUUAGGGUUAGGGUCGCUGUACUGUUACCUUCCAGACUGGUUCCAUAUGAAUGAAUUUAGCCAUAUUGUAUGUACGUGUUAUUUCGCUGUUGUUGUUGAUGAUGUUGUUGGUAUUCAUCACAUCGACUCAUCUCAGUCUUACCUGGUAAAAUAAAAGUUUAUGUAUUUAACAAAAUAUUACCCCGUCAAUGCACAUUUAUGCUACACGUUAGUUGUUGCUUUACAUUAGGACAUACUUGUUUCAAAGUGCAUGGAUUUGAAAUCUCUUCUCAGUCUUUAUUUCCCACGACAGAAAUCACUUCUAGCAAUAUUAGGCAGUGGGACACUCACUACCCACUCACUAUUAUAAAUACUGUGGGUCUCAUUGACACAGGUAAACGUGAAUUGUGUGUGUUUUAAAGUAGUUAAAUUGUUCUACGGUAGUCUAGUGAUUCAGGCCCGAUACAUUGUUACUAUCUCUUUGUUCAAAAUACUUCAAUUCAAAGGAAAGAAAGAAAACUAAUGCAUUAUUUUUAAAUGGUCUUAUUUUCCCUCCUUGUUUUAAGAAAAAAAUACAUUGCAGAACUGCAACAUUUAUAGUCUAUUUGAGACAUGGAACAAACAAAAAAACUUAUACAAUAAUUUUCAUCUGAAAAAUGCAUUUUUGGUUUUCAAGUCAUGAGGACAAAUGUAUUUUGUCUUUACAGAGACAGGGUUUAUUUUGUCUUUACAGAGACAGGGUAAGCGAAACAACAUUAACUCUGAAUAUUUCCUUCAUUUUUGAUCAUAAUUGAAUUGCUUAUCAAUAGGUUAUCCAUACGAUUCCAAUACAACAUCACAAUUUUAAUACCAGUUCUCAUUCGUGUUCCAACUAAUGAAAAUAAAGAAGAAAAAAAAAAAAAAAAAAAAAUAAUCAUGUUUUUCUUUUACAAAAAAUAAAAAUACAAAAAACAGACACAGAAACAAAUCAGUCAAAAUCUACAGAAAAUUGUAAAUGUAUAAUUAUACUUUGGGAUAGACAGCAUAUUGGCUUUGUUUUCAUCUUUGGAAUGAAGCUUUUGCUUAGAAUAUUCAACCACUACCACACAGUCGAGCCUGAUCCCAGAUCUGUCCGUGCUGUAUAUCUAACUCCUACGGUGGUUGUCACACAAACUGACCUGGAACCAGGCUUCUCAACCACCUCCUGUGAGGUCAUCCUUUCCAGGUGUAAUUUAGCCAUUGUCGUCAGAUUGUAACAACACCUUGCCUUUGGUUUAGAAAACACUCCUCUCUAAGUACCCCUUUUCACACUAUCAUGCCGACCUGAACAAAACCGGGUCAGUACAGUAUGGCUCGGCUCAGUUCGGUUCGGCUCAGUGGUGUGAAAAGGCUUUAUAUAAGACCCUUACUGAGCCAACGUACAUGUAUGUAUCAAGCAUAGACACAUUAAGAGAAUCCAACUGUGGAGAGUGAGAUUGAUGGAUCAAAGUUAAAAGUUAUUGUUCAAUAUUCUCAUGUUCUACUAAAUGAACGAGUGAUUUGAUUCAUCAAGGUUAUUUUGGUUAUCAUCACACUGACCUCUGAACUCUAACCCCCUGUGGUCGUCGGACUGUCUGACCCUUCUCCUACGACCCCCUGAGGUAGGUUAGUGGCCUUGCUGUAGAUCUCUUUAUGUGUGGUUUAAUUAUUAUUAUUAUUUUUUUAAAUUAUUAACCCAGUGAGGACCAGAGUAACAGUACAAUCACUUCAUCCUAAACUCAUUUGUGGUAUUUUAAUCAGACACUGAUUGGGUGCUGCUGUCUAAUAAGAGGGUUUUAUUUGUCAGUUAGCUAAGUGGAAGGUCAAAGAGAGGCAUAGAUUGUCAGGCACAGUGCCUUCAGUGACAUCAUUAAGUUGAGUCUUUUUUCCGUAAUAUUCUUUGAAAGAUGUAUUUUUUUCCUACUGUGUUUUCAGGUCUAUUGUUGUUGGUCAAAAUACUACAUGGUUUGUCCAUCGAUGUCAAAUUCUGCGCUGUGUAAGUUACUAUACGAAGGCUAUUAUCAAAGUUGUGGACUACUGUCUCAAAAUGGGUCUCAGAACAGGUUUUCGACUCAUUCUAUUUAUAUCUCAUCUGUCACUCUUUGACAGUAUGUUAACAGUUAGCCUUGUGUUAGCCUUGUGCAGUAUGUUAUUAACAGUUAGCCUUGUGUUCAUAACCUUCUACUCAGAAUAUGGACGCUUCAGCUAAUUCACUUAUUACCCAAAGGGUACACUAUGACAGUGGAGGGUCAAUAUAUACACAACUGAGCCACACUCUCAGCAACCACAUGCAGUCCAUAGAGUGGUACGGGAUUCUGAACUUAAAAAGUAAUGAAGUCACAAUGCAUUACACUGCUAGCUAAUUGUAAAUAUACUCAUGCAUAAAAUCUGGGCUAUAGCACUGUUGUUUGGCAGUUGCUAAACAUAAUGCUACACUUCAACACAGAAGAAUAGGACAUAAGACAAAGAAGGAAACAUUUACAAAAUGGUGGUCAGAAACUAGGUCGUAAGACAAAGAAGGAAACAUUUACAAAAUGGUGGUCAGAAACUAGGUCGUAAGACAAAGAAGGAAACAUUUACAAAAUGGUGGUCAGAAACUAGGUCAUAAGACAAAGAAGGAAACAUUUACAAAAUGGUGGUCAGAAACUAGGUCAUAAGAACGGGGGGGUUUUUCUCUUUUUUUUCCUAUUUUUUUUUUUACAUUGUAACAUGUAAACUGUGGGCUUAAUCUGCAAUUAUCCUCAUUACAGAAAGCUGAGUGAAUAACCGGAGCCCCUCCAACAACAACAAAAAAAUAAAACCAGAAACAAUUAAAAACCCAAACCACAAAAAAGACAAGCAUUUGUUUUUGGUAAGCGCACCUCUUCAACUAUUACAGAAAUCACAACUUAAAAUGUAUCAAGAUUUUUUUUGGUUUUUUUUUUGUCUCGUAAAGUCACACAGUUACCAAAAUAAUAAUUUAUUACAUAUGCUAGAAUAACAUUACCCUAACCACUAGUAUCUCUGAGGUAUAUCUGAAAACAUUAAGGAGAGCACGAUCUGCGCUGUUGACAUGCCACAACUUUUUCAUUUUUUCAUUUUUUUUUUUUUUAAAUGUAAAGCUUUGUAACCAUUUGGUAGAAUAAGAAGAGGAAGAGGAAACAGAUAUAUUUGGAAAACCUUUGGUAUCAUUUCUCUUAGUUGUUUGCUUAGUGAUUGCAUUGCAAAGUACCACAGAGCCGGACUAAUACAUUGUCCACUAGUCAACAACGCGACGGCCAGCUAGAAGCUGAGGUAAGUACAGAGAGGUCUACACUUUGCUUUGGUUCAAGCAAGGCACUCGUCCCAUGGUUAUCUCAUACUUUGCAACAAAAGCGCUGUUUACGUCUUUGUUAAAGCAGCCCCAGUGGAAAAGUAAUAUAGCUGGCUGAAUAUAGGCCUUUAACCCUAUUAGUAAUAUAGGCAUAUAACCCUAUUAGUAAUAUAGGCCUUUAACCCUAUUAGUAAUAUAGGCCUUUAACCCUAUUAGUAAUAUAGGCCUUUAACCCUAUUAGUAAUAUAGGCCUUUAACCCUAUUAGUAAUAUAGGCAUAUAACCCUAUUAGUAAUAUAGGCAUAUAACCCUAUUAGUAAUAUAGGCCUUUAACCCUAUUAGUAAUAUAGGCAUAUAACCCUAUUAGUAAUAUAGGCAUAUAACCCUAUUAGUAAUAUAGGCCUUUAACCCUAUUAGUAAUAUAGGCCUUUAACCCUAUUAGUAAUAUAGGCCUAAAAGCCUAUUAGUAAUAUAGGCCUUUAACCCUAUUAGUAAUAUAGGCCUUUAACCCUAUUAGUAAUAUAGGCCUUUAACCCUAUUAGUAAUAUAGGCAUAUAACCCUAUUAGUAAUAUAGGCAUAUAACCCUAUUAGUAAUAUAGGCCUCUAACCCUAUUAGUAAUAUAGGCCUCUAACCCUAUUAGUAAUAUAGGCCUCUAACCCUAUUAGUAAUAUAGGCAUAUAACCCUAUUAGUAAUAUAGGCAUAUAACCCUAUUAGUAAUAUAGGCAUAUAACCCUAUUAGUAAUAUAGGCCUCUAACCCUAUUAGUAAUAUAGGCCUCUAACCCUAUUAGUAAUAUAGGCCUCUAACCCUAUUAGUAAUAUAGGCCUAAAAGCCUAUUAGUAAUAUAGGCCUCUAACCCUAUUAGUAAUAUAGGCCUAAAAGCCUAUCAUGUCAGCUCUAGAGAGAGAAUCCAUUGGAGUCAGUAUUGUCAUAUGGUUCCAGGAGUCUCACAUCAACUGUUGCCACUCCCAUAUCUUAAGUAUAUUUGCAUAAUGUAUUAUAUGCUAAUUUGUAUAGGCUACACAUAGAUGAAGGUGGUAACACGUGAUGAACUCCCGUACUUUCAUAGAUGACAAUGGUCCCAAGUUCCCACUAGAUUCAGCAUUAUUUCACUCUCUCUCUCAUUUCAACUCCAUAUUACCUUUCCAAACAGGAGCUAGAGAAUGAUUAGUAUAAUGAUGUGUUCGUAACCAAGUGGGAAGUGGGAAUUUCUCACAUGUAACUGGGAAAAAUCCCAUUGAAGACCCCUCCAACUGGUAAUUACUAGUGGGGAAACUCGUCCCUCCCACUUCUCUCGCAUGCUGACCUUUGACAUCACCUACUUUAUUUAACUAUGCAAGUCAGUUAAGAACAAAUUCUUAUUUACAAUGACGGUCUACACCGGCCAAACCCGGACGACGCUGGGACAAUUGUACGCCGCCCUUAUGGGACUCCCAAUCACAGCCGGUUGUGAUACAGCCUGGAUUCAAACCAGGGUGUCUUUAGUGAUGCCUCUUGCACUGAGAUGCAGUGCCUUAGACCGCUGCGCCACUCAGGAGCCUCAGUGGCUCCCUACUAAGAGAAUGGCCUCUAUAACAGCAUUUCCAGCAGUUAAAUGCAACAACAAAACAUUAUUUAUAAAAAGCUAUCUAUUCAUAUGGUUUGUGAACACUAUAAUUUGUUAACGAGCAUGAUAGCUGUACUUUUAGUUCAUGGUUAAGUAGCUUGUUGACCUUUAGCCAAUCUGCGUUUCUCAACGAGUUCAAAGCACGUGAAUUCAUCCUACUGGUAUUUAAUACUUCACAACUGGCAUAUUCCCACCUCCCACUUGGUUACGAACACAGAAUUAGUUCCAAGGAGUACACUACUGCUAUUAUAAUUAUUACAGCUGUUCUGUUCUUGUCUGAACCAGAAUGCAUCAGGGUUACAUUUUGGUAUGUGUCUUUCAGAGAGGCCUUUCACCAGUGCCUUUGGUUUCUUUGGUUUGGUUUGGUUAAAAUCACAACGUUGCACUGGAACAGUAGGCAGGGAGGAGGAUUGUGGCUUUUGAAGUCCAUUUACAGUAUAUUGUCCAUUGUUUUAUUUCCAUUAAGUCUGAUUGUUUAGGAGUGAUACUUGGGGGAUUGAGGGAAGCAUUUUCAAAUGUAUGGACUGUAGCCUUCUUUGCAAAGGCACUAGUAAAAACACAGCUACUAUAAUGGACACUGUGAUAAGAUGGACAUUGUGGUUUUUGGGCUAAUCAUUCUGACUCUCCUGUGUUUGUAGAUUUAUGAAAACGUUUUUUUCUUUUUUCCGGCACUGCUUGUUUGGCCGUUACAUAAAAAAUAAAAAUAAAAAAAACAAUGAUUAAACGUUCAUCCCUAGAUGUCUGGGAAUUAUAGUAGUAUGUAUAUAUAUA
This 6274-nucleotide long non-coding RNA is filed under the name Salmo salar (Atlantic salmon). RNAcentral describes it as "lncRNA (ENSSSAG00000107831.1)". The record is from RNAcentral. Lineage: Eukaryota; Metazoa; Chordata; Actinopteri; Salmoniformes; Salmonidae.